RNAcentral lists this ribosomal RNA (733 nucleotides) under uncultured bacterium. Its description in RNAcentral is "bacterial SSU rRNA". It matches the Rfam family "Bacterial small subunit ribosomal RNA", at positions 62 to 770 of the family's 1533-position model. The record is from RNAcentral.
UCGAACGAGAAUGUGGGCUUCGGCCCACUAGUAAAGUGGCGGACGGGUGCGUAACACGUGGGUAAUCUACCUUCCGGCGGGGGACAACAGUCCGAAAGGAUUGCUAAUACCGCAUACGUCAGCGGCGCCUACGGGCGCUGUUGGGAAAGAUGGCCUCUCCUUGGAAGCUAUCACCGGAAGAUGAACCCGCGGCCCAUCAGCUAGUUGGUGAGGUAAUGGCUCACCAAGGCUAAGACGGGUAGCUGGUCUGAGAGGAUGAUCAGCCACACUGGGACUGCGACACGGCCCAGACUCCUACGGGAGGCAGCAGUGGGGAAUAUUGGGCAAUGGGCGAAAGCCUGACCCGGCCACGCCGCGUGAGUGAUGAAGGCCUUCGGGUCGUAAAGCUCUGUGGGGAGGGACGAACAAAUCUGGGGCUAAUCACCCGGGUCCUGACGGUACCUCCUUAGCAAGCACCGGCUAACCCUGUGCCAGCAGCCGCGGUAAUACAGGGGGUGCAAACGUUGCUCGGAAUCAUUGGGCGUAAAGCGCACGUAGGCGGUUCGUUAUGUCGGAUGUGAAAGCCCUUGGCUUAACCGAGGAAGUGCAUCCGAAACUGGCGAGCUAGAGUACGAAAGAGGAUCGCGGAAUUCCCGGUGUAGAGGUGAAAUUCGUAGAUAUCGGGAGGAACACCGGUGGCGAAGGCGGCGAUCUGGGUCGAUACUGACGCUGAGGUGCGAAAGCGUGGGGAGCA